UACGAAGGGGGCAAGCGUUGUUCGGAAUUACUGGGCGUAAAGGGCGCGUAGGCGGCUUAUCAAGUCAGGCGUGAAAUUCCCGGGCUCAACCUGGGGGCUGCGCUUGAUACUGAUGAGCUUGAAUGCGGGAGAGGAUAGUGGAAUUCCCAGUGUAGAGGUGAAAUGCGUAGAGAUGUGGAGGAACACCAGUGGCGAAGGCGACUCUCUGGGCUGUAACUGACGCUGAGGCGCGAAAGCGUGGGGAGCAAACAGG
RNAcentral lists this ribosomal RNA (253 nucleotides) under uncultured bacterium. RNAcentral's name for it is "partial 16S ribosomal RNA". It matches the Rfam family "Bacterial small subunit ribosomal RNA", at positions 524 to 776 of the family's 1533-position model. The record is from RNAcentral.